UGGUGGGUAGUUUGACUGGGGCGGUCUCCUCCUAAAGAGUAACGGAGGAGCACGAAGGUUGGCUAAUCCUGGUCGGACAUCAGGAGGUUAGUGCAAUGGCAUAAGCCAGCUUGACUGCGAGCGUGACGGCGCGAGCAGGUGCGAAAGCAGGUCAUAGUGAUCCGGUGGUUCUGAAUGGAAGGGCCAUCGCUCAACGGAUAAAAGGUACUCCGGGGAUAACAGGCUGAUACCGCCCAAGAGUUCAUAUCGACGGCGGUGUUUGGCACCUCGAUGUCGGCUCAUCACAUCCUGGGGCUGAAGUAGGUCCCAAGGGUAUGGCUGUUCGCCAUUUAAAGUGGUACGCGAGCUGGGUUUAGAACGUCGUGAGACAGUUCGGUCCCUAUCUGCCGUGGGCGCUGGAGAACUGAGGGGGGCUGCUCCUAGUACGAGAGGACCGGAGUGGACGCAUCACUGGUGUUCGGGUUGUCAUGCCAAUGGCACUGCCCGGUAGCUAAAUGCGGAAGAGAUAAGUGCUGAAAGCAUCUAAGCACGAAACUUGCCCCGAGAUGAGUUCUCCCUGAGACUUUAGGUCUCCUGAAGGAACGUUGAAGACGACGACGUUGAUAGGCCGGGUGUGUAAGCGCAGCGAUGCGUUGAGCUAACCGGUACUAAUGAACCGUGAGGCUUAACCUUACAACGCCGAA
This 683-nucleotide ribosomal RNA is filed under the name Salmonella enterica subsp. enterica serovar Derby. RNAcentral describes it as "partial 23S ribosomal RNA". It matches the Rfam family "Bacterial large subunit ribosomal RNA", at positions 2259 to 2925 of the family's 2925-position model. Lineage: Bacteria; Pseudomonadati; Pseudomonadota; Gammaproteobacteria; Enterobacterales; Enterobacteriaceae. The record is from RNAcentral. RNAcentral also lists the same sequence under 6 other names.